Sinocyclocheilus anshuiensis is the source of this 991-nucleotide long non-coding RNA. RefSeq lists it as uncharacterized. The record is from RefSeq and is a predicted model, not a curated record. The transcript has 2 exons. NCBI's taxonomy places the organism in Eukaryota, Metazoa, Chordata, Actinopteri, Cypriniformes, Cyprinidae.
UGUUUCAUGAUGCCUUAUGUGUAUGAACAGGGAUCCAGGAAAGCUGAGGCAGUUUGUAUUGGACCUGCACUCGGGAAAGUUGCACAGGGAGUUCCAUCAUGGCCCAGACCCCACAGACAGCACUCCAGGACAGCAGGAGGAGAAUAGAGAGGUGGCCAGUAGUCCCCCAGAGAGUUCCUUCCAGAAAUUGGCCCCCAGUGAGACGCGCUACACCAUCCUCAGGGACCGGGACGAGCUGUGAUGUUACAACCGCAUCGAGACCCAACCCAGAACCCAGCAGCCAGCUGGUGCCUACCUGGCACUGCCGCUGCCUGUGCGAUGUCUAUUUUCAUAAUUUUUAUUUUAGAUAAAAAAAGUGAGAAGGUGAACCCCUGAGCCUUUUUGGGGUGGGGAAUGAAGAGAAGUGUUUUUAUUUUUGUUUUUGGAGCUUGUAAAUAUGUUUGUGCUCUGUGGGUCUUGUCUAAAUUAAAAACAUGAUUUUUUUUUUCUUUUAUUUUUAUUUUUAUUUUUUUGGCCUACAUUUUUGUCUACCCAAGUCCCUUUUUUUGUAGAAAAACAUUGGUACAUUGGUGGCCCUCUUUGUUGGGAACGCAAAUUGAGUUUCUUAUGGAUCUUAAGUGCGGGCAAGUGGAAUCAUGGGGAAAAAAAUAACAAACCUGCAGUCAACCCGUGGUGUUUCACUCCAGUCCUCAACAGAGCGUGCCCAGUGUGUGUGUAUGUAUGUAUGUGCGUGUGUGAGUAUGUGCACAUGUACAUUACAUGUGCUUAUUAGUCUGUAUUCGUAUGUACUGUACUGUUCCAGACUUGUUUAAAUUCACGCUCGCUAAGAUCCAGACUCGCUAGUCUCAUAUCAUCCCAUUCCACCAGGUGAGUGGUCAGGGGCAGGGUUAUGUGGGGGUCGGGUUUAGAGGGGUGGGGAUUAUUUGUAAAUCUGUCAUCUCAGAGGGGACAAGGAAACCAAAAAAAGAAAAGUAAAUUAAAAAACAUUUUA